RNAcentral lists this ribosomal RNA (230 nucleotides) under Escherichia coli. Its description in RNAcentral is "partial 16S ribosomal RNA". It matches the Rfam family "Bacterial small subunit ribosomal RNA", at positions 1 to 227 of the family's 1533-position model. RNAcentral also lists the same sequence under 2 other names. The record is from RNAcentral. Lineage: Bacteria; Pseudomonadati; Pseudomonadota; Gammaproteobacteria; Enterobacterales; Enterobacteriaceae.
AAAUUGAAGAGUUUGAUCAUGGCUCAGAUUGAACGCUGGCGGCAGGCCUAACACAUGCAAGUCGAACGGUAACAGGAAGCAGCUUGCUGCUUCGCUGACGAGUGGCGGACGGGUGAGUAAUGUCUGGGAAACUGCCUGAUGGAGGGGGAUAACUACUGGAAACGGUAGCUAAUACCGCAUAACGUCGCAAGACCAAAGAGGGGGACCUUCGGGCCUCUUGCCAUCGGAUG